Molecule: ribosomal RNA, 1290 nt
Filed under: Triticum aestivum (bread wheat)
Lineage: Eukaryota; Viridiplantae; Streptophyta; Magnoliopsida; Poales; Poaceae
Description: partial small subunit ribosomal RNA
Source: RNAcentral
AUGGAAGAUGCUUUGGAGAUCAAGGACGUGGAAGAAAUCGUAGAGGCAAUCCUCAUCCGCCUCCCGCCUGGUGAGCCUGAGAAUUUCGUCUGUGCAUCCCUCGUCUGCAAACUGUGGUGCCACCUCCUCUCCGACAAUGGCUUCCUCGGCCGCUAUCGAGCCUUCCAUAAUACACCACCUAUGCUCGGACUUCUCCAUAGUUGGUUCUGCAAUGACCCCUUCAUCCCCAUCACCAAAUUUAUCCCCCGUGGUCACCCUAAACACAAUAAUGUGGCCUUCUGCCGCCACGGCCGUGUCCUAUUUUCAGAUUGGGUUAUCUGGUUCCCCAUGACGGGCAACACUAGGGAGCUACCAGCACCGCAGAGAGGCGAAAAUUGGAAUACUGAUGAAUGUGCAGCUGUGCUUUGUGCCGUUGACGGUUGCGACCAUGGGGCUUGCCAAUCGGGCCCAUUUUUUGUGGUCUCCGUCGGCCUUGACGAGGAGAAGGUGGCCACGACGAUCGUGUAUUCUUCGGAGACGAGUACUUGGAGCGCCCCGACCUCCCUUGACCUAGGCUUUAUUGAGAGUGAUAUCAGUCUCUCUUGGAUGCCCGGUGUGCUCUCCGGAGGCGCGCUACAUUUUACCUUGAUGCACGAUGCUCGUCUUGGUGUACUUAAGUAUGACUUGGGAACAUCUUGCCUAUCAGAGAUUGAGCCGGCGUUUGAGAUCCAGAGCGCCCGCUAUGACUCUCAUGCCCUGAUUGCGCCGGAGGACGGCCAACUGGGGAUUGCGAGGCUCAAUGGUUUCAAUCUCUCUGCGUACUGGAGGGAGGUUUGUCACGACCAGGUUGCAACGUGGAAAAAAUCUGAAGUCAUCGAUCUAAAGAAGCAUCUCCUUGCAAGCGAUCCCAUGAUCUCACAUACUGAGUUGGUUGGCUCUGUUGAAAGAACGGCUAUCAUCUUCGCAACCACAAAUAUUGGCACCUACAUGAUUGAUCUCAAGUCACUAAGGCCGAAGAAGCUCACGAGCGAGCUUCGUCUUUUCAACCAUCCAUGGGCUCUGUUCCCCUAUUUUAGCUUCUACAAUCCACCAGUGGGACAAGUUGAGAACGUGGCCGGUUUAGGAGAAAGUGAAAUGGGAAGCAUUGAUGAGGAAUCGGGAGAGAGUGAAUCUAGAAGCAGUGACAGGGAAUCAGGAGAAAGUGAUGCUGGAAGCAGCGAGGGCGAAAUGAGAAAACUGAUGCUGGAAGCACCGAUGGUGAAGCAAAAGAAGCCGAAGCUAGAAACAUCAUCGACGAAGCAUAGACCUUGA